GAUGAACGCUGGCGGCGUGCUUAACACAUGCAAGUCGAACGGAAAGGCUCCUGCUUGCAGGGGUACUCGAGUGGCGAACGGGUGAGUAACACGUGGGUGAUCCGCCCUGCACUUCGGGAUAAGCCUGGGAAACUGGGUCUAAUACCGGAUAGGACCACAUUUUGGAUGGUGUGGUGGAAAGUUUUUCGGUGUGGGAUGAGCUCGCGGCCUAUCAGCUUGUUGGUGGGGUAAUGGCCUACCAAGGCGUCGACGGGUAGCCGGCCUGAGAGGGUGUACGGCCACAUUGGGACUGAGAUACGGCCCAGACUCCUACGGGAGGCAGCAGUGGGGAAUAGUGCACGAUGGGCGCAAGCCUGAUGCAGCGACGCCGCGUGGGGGAUGACGGCCUUCGGGUUGUAAACUCCUUUCGCUAGGGACGAAGCGCAAGUGACGGUACCUGGAGAAGAAGCACCGGCUAACUACGUG
This 465-nucleotide ribosomal RNA is filed under the name uncultured bacterium. RNAcentral describes it as "partial 16S ribosomal RNA". It matches the Rfam family "Bacterial small subunit ribosomal RNA", at positions 28 to 507 of the family's 1533-position model. The record is from RNAcentral.